GCAGUCGAGCGAAGAGAUGGGAGCUUGCUCCCAGAUCUUAGCGGCGGACGGGUGAGUAACACGUGGGCAACCUGCCCUGCAGACUGGGAUAACUCCGGGAAACCGGAGCUAAUACCGGGUAAUACAUCGCACCGCAUGGUGCAAUGUUGAAAGUUGGCUUUCUGAGCUAACACUGCAGGAUGGGCCCGCGGCGCAUUAGCUAGUUGGUAAGGUAAUGGCUUACCAAGGCAACGAUGCGUAGCCGACCUGAGAGGGUGAUCGGCCACACUGGGACUGAGACACGGCCCAGACUCCUACGGGAGGCAGCAGUAGGGAAUCUUCCGCAAUGGACGAAAGUCUGACGGAGCAACGCCGCGUGAGUGACGAAGGCCUUCGGGUCGUAAAGCUCUGUUGUUAGGGAAGAACAAGUACCGUUCGAAUAGGGCGGUACCUUGACGGUACCUAACCAGAAAGCCACGGCUAACUACGUGCCAGCAGCCGCGGUAAUACGUAGGUGGCAAGCGUUGUCCGGAAUUAUUGGGCGUAAAGCGCGCGCAGGCGGUCUUUUAAGUCUGAUGUGAAAGCCCACGGCUCAACCGUGGAGGGUCAUUGGAAACUGGAGGACUUGAGUGCAGAAGAGGAGAGUGGAAUUCCACGUGUAGCGGUGAAAUGCGUAGAUAUGUGGAGGAACACCAGUGGCGAAGGCGGCUCUCUGGUCUGUAACUGACGCUGAGGCGCGAAAGCGUGGGGAGCAAACAGGAUU
Molecule: ribosomal RNA, 742 nt
Filed under: Guptibacillus hwajinpoensis
Lineage: Bacteria; Bacillati; Bacillota; Bacilli; Caryophanales; Guptibacillaceae
Description: bacterial SSU rRNA
Rfam family: Bacterial small subunit ribosomal RNA
Source: RNAcentral